RNAcentral lists this ribosomal RNA (404 nucleotides) under uncultured bacterium. RNAcentral's name for it is "bacterial SSU rRNA". It matches the Rfam family "Bacterial small subunit ribosomal RNA", at positions 355 to 776 of the family's 1533-position model. The record is from RNAcentral.
UUGGGAAUUUUGCGCAAUGGUCGACAGACUGACGCAGCAACGCCGCGUGGAGGACGACGCCUUCAGGGGUGUAAACUCCUUUUCGUGGGGACGAUACUGACGGUACCCGCGGAAGAAGCCUCGGCUAACUACGUGCCAGCAGCCGCGGUAAUACGUAGGAGGCAAGCGUUGUCCGGAUUUACUGGGCGUAAAGCGUUCGUAGGCGGUUUGGUAAGCGCGCCGUGAAAGCGCCUGGCUCAACUGGGCGAGGUCGGUGCGAACUGCCAGACUGGAGGGUCGGCGAGGCAGACGGAAUUCCCGGAGGAGCGGUAACAUGCGUAGAGAUCGGGAGGAGCACCUGUGGCGAAAGCGGUCUGCUGGACGAUGCCUGACGCUGAGGAACGAAAGCGUGGGGAGCGAACUGA